This 482-nucleotide ribosomal RNA is filed under the name uncultured bacterium. RNAcentral describes it as "bacterial SSU rRNA". It matches the Rfam family "Bacterial small subunit ribosomal RNA", at positions 8 to 526 of the family's 1533-position model. The record is from RNAcentral.
AGAGUUUGAUCAUGGCUCAGAAUCAACGCUGGCGGCGCGCUUAACACAUGCAAGUCGCACGAGAAAGGGGCAACCUGAGUAAAGUGGCGCACGGGUGAGUAACACGUGGAUGAUUCACCUCUUUGUGGGGAAUAACCCUGGGAAACCGGGGCUAAUACCGCAUAAGCUCGAGAGAGGAAAGCAGCAAUGCGCUGAGAGAGAAGUCCGCGGCCGAUUAGCUUGUUGGCGGGGUAAUGGCCCACCAAGGCUGCGAUCGGUAGCCGGCCUGAGAGGGCACACGGCCACACUGGCACUGAAACACGGGCCAGACUCCUACGGGAGGCAGCAGUGGGGAAUCUUGCACAAUGGAGGAAACUCUGAUGCAGCGACGCCGCGUGAGCGAUGAAGCCCUUCGGGGUGUAAAGCUCUUUCGACGGGGACGAUAAUGACGGUACCCGGAGAAGAAGCUGCGGCUAACUACGUGCCAGCAGCCGCGGUAAUAC